RNAcentral lists this ribosomal RNA (440 nucleotides) under uncultured bacterium. RNAcentral describes it as "partial 16S ribosomal RNA". It matches the Rfam family "Bacterial small subunit ribosomal RNA", at positions 338 to 795 of the family's 1533-position model. The record is from RNAcentral.
CCUACGGGAGGCAGCAGUGGGGGAUAUUGCACAAUGGGGGAAACCCUGAUGCAGCGACGCCGCGUGUGGGAAGACGGUCCUCUGGAUUGUAAACCACUGUCCCCAGGGACGAAGAUGACGGUACCUGGGGCGGAAGCUCCGGCAACCUACGUGCCAGCAGCCGCGGUAAUACGUCGGGAGCGAGCGUUGUCCGGAAUUACUGGGUGUAAAGGGAGCGUAGGCGGGACUGCAAGUUGGGUGUCAAAUCUACCGGCUCAACCGGUAGCCGCACUCAAAACUGCAGUUCUUGAGUGAAGUAGAGGCAGGCGGAAUUCCUAGUGUAGCGGUGAAAUGCGUAGAUAUUAGGAGGAACACCAGUGGCGAAGGCGGCCUGCUGGGCUUUGACUGACGCUGAGGCUCGAAAGUGUGGGGAGCAAACAGGAUUAGAUACCCUGGUAGUC